GAAGUAGGUUAUGGUGUAGUGCAGGGCUAUUCAACUAUAUUUUUCUGGGGGCCAGAUUUGUCAGAAUGCUAUGACCAGUGGGCCGGACAUUCCCGUGACCUGUACUAUUACUCUCUGAUGUA
This is a long non-coding RNA of Thalassophryne amazonica, 122 nucleotides long. RefSeq lists it as uncharacterized. The record is from RefSeq and is a predicted model, not a curated record. The transcript is spliced from 4 exons. Lineage: Eukaryota; Metazoa; Chordata; Actinopteri; Batrachoidiformes; Batrachoididae.